Molecule: long non-coding RNA, 1187 nt
Filed under: Capra hircus (goat)
Lineage: Eukaryota; Metazoa; Chordata; Mammalia; Artiodactyla; Bovidae
Description: lncRNA (ENSCHIG00010015882.1)
Source: RNAcentral
CUAGUUUUCAAAGUGGAGGCCCCAGACCAGAGCAUCAGUAUCUCCGGAGAACUUGUUAGAAAUGCAAAUUCCCAGGCCAGCCCAAACCUACUGAAUCCAAACCAUGGUGGUAGGGUGUUUGCCAGAAGUUUUCACUUGUCUCAGGUUCAAAGGAUUUGUUAACAAAAUAAGCCACUCGUUUUAUACAAAUAAAUAAUACAAAUAUUUAUUAGAGAAUUACAGAGCUUACUUUCAAUAUACUACCAUUAAAAGAAAAGAGAAACAAAUAGCAGAAGAUACAUCACCAAAUUGGAGUCAACAUGCAGACUUAAAUAGUGCUGGGAAGUCCCAAGUCACAGCACAUCUGGAGUCCCAUUUGGGAAAAGGUCCCAGGCAGCAUGUCUGGUCUGUGUGUGAGACCUCAAAGAUUGCAGUUCAGAGUUCCACUAUUAAUCCCAGGAUACAAAGAGAUAUCAUCACCAAUCUGUGAGCAAAGUGCAAGCCUGGGUUCACGUUAAUGCUGUUUGUUUUGUCUUGUACAACUUGGAAUGUUGUCACACCUGGGGCUUGGUUGGCCAGCCCCCCUCCAGGGGCUCAACCAUCUCAAGAUUCACCUCCCAUCUUAUCUAUGGCGCUGCCAGUCUUGCACUCACAGCAGGCACUCACUCCUGGUCACUCACAGUCAGGGCAGUGUCCAGGCAGGUUAGAAGCAAGGUCAGAGGCCUGUUUUUAGCUUUGUCUCUGAAGCCUAAGCAAGACUGACUAUGUAACGUCCCUAACAUGGGGUUAGCAAUAAGUGCUUUAAAAAGCUAUGCAGGAGAUUCUCAUGUAGCCAGUGUCUGACAGCCACUACCUUAGAAUAAUUAUUUGCCGGUUUCUGGUGGCUUCUUUUCUUCCAGGCAGUGUUAGGUAGAGCCCAGGGUUUGGAAUCGGAGUCCUUGGUGCCAUCUUCUGACCUCAGCAUGUCAUCUGUCACAUCUUGGCCAACUGACCAACCCCUAACUCUGCGGUCCUAAUUUCUGCACAGGUAAAAUGGGAUGUUACUUGAUAUGAUUGUUUAAAGGGUACAUGAGAUGAGACCAGCCAAAUGGCAACUCAUCUGCCCCACUGCACGCAAGUACUGAACAAAGCCCGCUCGGCCUGAAAGUCUGCAUCUCAGCCGCGUGGCCAUGGGUCACUCUGGUGUGCACAGUCACCCUAUCUUCAAU